Molecule: ribosomal RNA, 560 nt
Filed under: Actinomycetales bacterium JJCPDKTA9
Lineage: Bacteria; Bacillati; Actinomycetota; Actinomycetes; Actinomycetales
Description: bacterial SSU rRNA
Rfam family: Bacterial small subunit ribosomal RNA
Source: RNAcentral
UGGAAACGGGGUCUAAUACCGGAUACUGACCAUCUUGGGCAUCCAAGGUGUUCGAAAGCUCCGGCGGUGCAGGAUGAGCCCGCGGCCUAUCAGCUUGUUGGUGAGGUAAUGGCUCACCAAGGCGACGACGGGUAGCCGGCCUGAGAGGGCGACCGGCCACACUGGGACUGAGACACGGCCCAGACUCCUACGGGAGGCAGCAGUGGGGAAUAUUGCACAAUGGGCGAAAGCCUGAUGCAGCGACGCCGCGUGAGGGAUGACGGCCUUCGGGUUGUAAACCUCUUUCAGCAGGGAAGAAGCGAAAGUGACGGUACCUGCAGAAGAAGCGCCGGCUAACUACGUGCCAGCAGCCGCGGUAAUACGUAGGGCGCGAGCGUUGUCCGGAAUUAUUGGGCGUAAAGAGCUCGUAGGCGGCUUGUCACGUCGGUUGUGAAAGCCCGGGGCUUAACCCCGGGUCUGCAGUCGAUACGGGCAGGCUAGAGUUCGGUAGGGGAGAUCGGAAUUCCUGGUGUAGCGGUGAAAUGCGCAGAUAUCAGGAGGAACACCGGUGGCGAAGGCGG